CCAAUAGCGUAUAUUAAAGUUGUUGCAGUUAAAAAGCUCGUAGUUGAAUUUCGGGAUUGACACAUCGGUCGUGCCUUAAGGGGUAUGAACUGGUGUAGUCAAUUUCUCACCUUCUGGAGAACCGCGAUGCCCUUAAUUGGGUGUCACGGGGAACCAGGACCUUUACUUUGAAAAAAUUAGAGUGUUUAAAGCAGGCAUUUUGCUUGAAUACAUUAGCAUGGAAUAAUAAAAUAGGACGGCAUGAUUCUAUUUUGUUGGUUUCUAGGAUCACCGUAAUGAUUAAUAGGGAUAGUUGGGGGCAUUAGUAUUCAAUUGUCAGAGGUGAAAUUCUUGGAUUUAUUGAAGACUAACUACUGCGAAAGCAUUUGCCAAGGAUGUUUUCAUUAAUCAAGAACGAAAGUUAGGGGAUCGAAGACGAUCAGAUACUGUCGCAGUCUUAACCAUAAACUAUGCCGACUAGGAAUCAGACGAUGUUAAUUUUUUAAUGACUCGUUUGGCACCUUACG
Molecule: ribosomal RNA, 506 nt
Filed under: uncultured Glomeromycotina
Lineage: Eukaryota; Fungi; Glomeromycota
Description: partial small subunit ribosomal RNA
Rfam family: Eukaryotic small subunit ribosomal RNA
Source: RNAcentral